Molecule: non-coding RNA, 112 nt
Organism: Heterocephalus glaber (naked mole-rat)
Lineage: Eukaryota; Metazoa; Chordata; Mammalia; Rodentia; Bathyergidae
Source: Rfam
GUCUACGGCCAUACUACCCUGAACGUGCCUGAUCUUGUCUGAUCUCUGAAGCUAAGCAGGGUCAGGCCUGGUUAGUACUUGGAUGGGAAAGAACUAUUAACUUGCCAAUACU